UACAGAGGGUGCAAGCGUUGUUCGGAAUUAUUGGGCGUAAAGGGCGCGUAGGCGGUCUGUCGCGUCUGCGUGUGAAAACCUAGGGCUUAACUCUGGGCGUGCAGUGGGUACGGGCAGGCUAGAGUGCGGUAGGGGAGACUGGAAUUCCUGGUGUAGCGGUGAAAUGCGCAGAUAUCAGGAGGAACACCGGUGGCGAAGGCGGGUCUCUGGGCCGUAACUGACGCUGAGGAGCGAAAGCAUGGGGAGCGAACAGG
Molecule: ribosomal RNA, 254 nt
Filed under: uncultured bacterium
Lineage: Bacteria
Description: partial 16S ribosomal RNA
Rfam family: Bacterial small subunit ribosomal RNA
Source: RNAcentral